ACGCUCGACACCUACGAGGCAGCAGUGAGGAAUAUUGGUCAAUGGGCGCUAGCCUGAACCAGCCAAGUAGCGUGAAGGAUGAAGGCUCUAUGGGUCGUAAACUUCUUUUAUAUAAGAAUAAAGUGCAGUAUGUAUACUGUUUUGUAUGUAUUAUAUGAAUAAGGAUCGGCUAACUCCGUGGCAGCAGCCGCGGUAAUCUGAGCGGGCUGGCAAGGC
RNAcentral lists this ribosomal RNA (216 nucleotides) under uncultured bacterium. Its description in RNAcentral is "partial 16S ribosomal RNA". It matches the Rfam family "Bacterial small subunit ribosomal RNA", at positions 326 to 539 of the family's 1533-position model. The record is from RNAcentral.